CAGACAUGGAGGCAGAAACGUAACCCAACAGGAAGUGAACUGCAGUCUCCAAUAAAAUGAAGGUAAAGAGAUUUUACAGACAUCAGGCUGAUGUUAUAUGACUGACUGGAAAAAACAUGAUUAACAAACCAAAAACUGAAUAAAAACUAAAAAUAUGUCCUAAUAAUUGCUAGACGUGUUGGCUAAUUUUAUUAGAUAAUUUGUUUCAAAGUGAAAGUUUUUUCAGUGUCUAAAACAAGUUUUAGACGUUUAUUAGACCUAAAUGUGGAUUAAUUACGGCCCAAACCAGACGACUGAAACCUGAAGGUUCAUAACCAAAUUUACCAAAGAACAGAAAAAAGUUUUAAAAAUUUAUCUGUUUCCCUGGUUGAUUUUUAUUAUUUAUAAAACAGUUGAAGCUUGGUUCUUCCACUGUGAUGUUCUACCUGGUCCUGUCUGGUUCUGGUUCUCUCAGAGAAAAUCCUGAACAUUUCGUCAGUAAAAGUUCAAUAUGUAAAUAUCUCAUAUUUCACUAUUCAUUUAGUGUGAAAUGAGUUUAUAUCAAGUCAGUUUUUUGUUUCAGAAAAUGUUUGCAGGAUUCUUUUGGACCUUCCGACUUUUGCUGGUUCUGAACCGGGAUGAAUCUUUGACUGGACUCGCUUCACGUUCAGCUCCUGCAGUGAAAUCAGGUGUUUCAGGCGUCACCAGAUUUCAGUUUUAAUCUGACAGAAACCCGAGACCCGGAUCGCUGCAAUCGGCCCGGUUCUGAGCAGGAAUGCAGGGAGCCGUCGGAGCGUGACGAAGCAGCGGACUGGGUCAGGAGGGUCGGUCCCGGCGGGUCUGAGCAGGUCCAGGAGCCGCCGCCGGAUCGCGGGCGAUGACGGCAGGCAGUUCUGCUGUUUGCUCAGCCAAAGAAUCUGUUCUGUCAACAGAGAGCUGAUGGGGGGUCGGGGCCCCGGGGGCCAGGCCCCUGGGAGGCCCCUGGGAGGCUCCUGGGAGGUCAGACCCCUGGGAGGCUGGGCUCCUGGGAGGGCAUGCCUGGGGCCCCCGCAUCAACCGCAAAUAAAGGUGAAGCAGCUGAUAGGACGAACAAAGGCUGCAGUUUAUGACAGGAAACCAUGAAGAGCUGCAAACAGCCGGGGACCUCACCCUGAGAGUGUGCACGUGAGGGCGUGCACGUGCCAGCAGCCCUCUGGUGGGCAGAUGAACUUUAUGGGUCAAGGUUAACAAGAAGGAUUUAACUGUAGGCUGGAUCCUGAUUUACUGCAAACACCAGUUAUAUUUUAUCAGAGUGAAGAGACCAGAACCAGAACCAGAAUCAGAACCGCUCUGCAGCUGGCUGCUGUUUCAGCAUUAAUGACUGAAACUGCAGCUUCAGCGUUCGCCACAGAACAGAGCAGAAAACCAAAUUCAGACAUGAAAUGUUCUUCAGGUCAAGCAGAACGUUUCUCUUCCUGUUGGGAUCAAACAGCAACAGGAAGCAGAACUCGGGUCGAGCAGAACCUCCAGGAUAAAAACAAACCCAACAGCUGAAACGUGAUCCGACUGAGAGGAAACCGGGACAUGAGACACCUGAAGGCAGAAGGUCCUAUUUAAAGCAAGGGAGGGAAAACCUCUCCAGCCCACAGGAAGGAGUCGUUUCCAACAAAAACAGUUUCAGUUCCUCAGACGGAUCAGGAAGCCCGCUCAGUUCAGAACCAGAACCUCUGAGGAGGUCCAGAAGAAACGGCACCAGGUCUGAAACCAGGAAUGAAACGGCACCAGGUCUGAAACCAGGAAUGAAAUGGCAGCAGGUCUGAAACCAGGCAUGAAACGGCAGCAGGUCUGAAACCAGGAAUGAAACGGCAGCAGGUCUGAAACCAGGAAUGAAACGGCACCAGGUCUGAAACCAGGAAUGAAACGGCAUCAGGUCUGAAACCAGGCAUGAAACGGCACCAGGUCUGAAACCAGGAAUGAAACGGCAUCAGGUCUGAAACCAGGAAUGAAACGGCAGCAGGUCUGAAACCAGGCAUGAAACGGCAGCAGGAGGAAACCUGACGGCCUCCAGUAAUUGAAGCUCUUGGUCGUUUUUACAGAAACAGGUCAGAACCGGAUCAGAACCGGUCGGGUCAGAACCGGUUUGACAUCAGGUGGUGCAGGUUGUCAGAUCGGCGGAGCGUCCAGAGAGAAUCUGAUCGUCACACGUUAACGGGACGAGGUCCGGUCCACAUGGCAACACCCAGAGAACUCGGAGCAGAACCCUGGAUCAUUCAGGUCAAAGGUCACAUGCAAUCCAGUCAGAGAGACGCCUGUCCUGCUACAAACUGUGAAAGAUGAAGAUGAGGAUGAGGUCACCUCCAGAUUCUGUUUGAUAAACAGACCAGCAGGCGCUCUGAUUGGACGGUGUCUGUGUGUGUCUCUGUGUGUGUGUGUCUCUCUGUGUGUGUGUGUGUCUAUGUGUGUGUGUCUCUGUGUGUGUGUGUGUCUCUGUGUGUGUGUGU
Xiphophorus couchianus (Monterrey platyfish) is the source of this 2459-nucleotide long non-coding RNA. RefSeq lists it as uncharacterized. The record is from RefSeq and is a predicted model, not a curated record. The transcript is spliced from 3 exons. Lineage: Eukaryota; Metazoa; Chordata; Actinopteri; Cyprinodontiformes; Poeciliidae.